GGAGGGUGCAAGCGUUGUUCGGAAUUAUUGGGCGUAAAGAGCGUGUAGGCGGUCCGGUAAGUCAGAUGUGAAAGCCCUGGGCUCAACCCAGGAAGUGCAUUUGAAACUACCAGACUUGAGUACGGGAGAGGAGGGGGGAAUUCCCGGUGUAGAGGUGAAAUUCGUAGAUACCGGGAGGAAUACCAGUGGCGAAGGCGCCCCUCUGGACCGAUACUGACGCUGAGACGCGAAAGCGUGGGGAGCAAACAGGAUUAGAUACCCUGGGUAGUCCACGCCGUAAACGAUGAGCACUAGGUGUAGCGGGUAUUGACCCCCCUGCUGUGCCGUAGCUAACGCAUUAAGUGCUCCGCCUGGGGGACUACGGUCGCAAGACUA
RNAcentral lists this ribosomal RNA (375 nucleotides) under uncultured organism. Its description in RNAcentral is "partial 16S ribosomal RNA". It matches the Rfam family "Bacterial small subunit ribosomal RNA", at positions 527 to 896 of the family's 1533-position model. The record is from RNAcentral.